Molecule: ribosomal RNA, 662 nt
Filed under: uncultured bacterium
Lineage: Bacteria
Description: bacterial SSU rRNA
Rfam family: Bacterial small subunit ribosomal RNA
Source: RNAcentral
UCCGGGACGAUUGAGUCCUGGGUGGUACAGCGAAAGCGUUAAGUAUUCCACCUGGGGAGUACGCCGGCAACGGUGAAACUCAAAGGAAUUGACGGGGGCCCGCACAAGCGGAGGAACAUGUGGUUUAAUUCGAUGAUACGCGAGGAACCUUACCCGGGCUCAAACGACGGACGAAUGUUUUUGAAAGGAGGCAGACCUUCGGGGCGUCCGUCGAGGUGCUGCAUGGUUGUCGUCAGCUCGUGCCGUGAGGUGUCGGCUUAAGUGCCAUAACGAGCGCAACCCCCAUCGCCAGUUACCAUCAAGUGAAGUUGGGGACUCUGGCGAGACUGCCGGCGCAAGCUGCGAGGAAGGCGGGGAUGACGUCAAAUCAGCACGGCCCUUACGUCCGGGGCGACACACGUGUUACAAUGGCAGGCACAGAGAGAAGCGACAUGGCGACAUGAAGCGGAACUGUCAAAACCUGUCUCAGUUCGGAUUGGAGUCUGCAACCCGACUCCAUGAAGCUGGAUUCGCUAGUAAUCGCGCAUCAGCCACGGCGCGGUGAAUACGUUCCCGGGCCUUGUACACACCGCCCGUCAAGCCAUGGAAGCCGGGAGUGCCUGAAGUGUGCAACCGCAAGGAGCGCCCUAAGGUAAAACCGGUGACAGGGGCUAAGUCGUAAC